AAUUUAUGUAUCAUAUAUAUGUGCUUCCCAGGUUGCGCUAGUGUAAAGAACCCACCUGCCAAUGCAGGUAGACAUAUGAGACACAGGUUUGAUCCCUAAGCCAGGAAGAUUCCCUGGAGGCGGGCAUGGCAACCCACUCCAGUAUGCUUGCCAGGAGAAUCC
This is a long non-coding RNA of Cervus elaphus (red deer), 162 nucleotides long. RefSeq lists it as uncharacterized. The record is from RefSeq and is a predicted model, not a curated record. The transcript is spliced from 3 exons. NCBI's taxonomy places the organism in Eukaryota, Metazoa, Chordata, Mammalia, Artiodactyla, Cervidae.